Non-coding RNA from Cinara cedri, 276 nucleotides. The record is from the annotation of a GenBank genome assembly. NCBI's taxonomy places the organism in Eukaryota, Metazoa, Arthropoda, Insecta, Hemiptera, Aphididae.
CGUAAAGGAAAUCAAAAAAUCACUUCCUCAUUUCACCAAUUAGAUCAAACAUUUUACAAAUAAGCUCUGUUAUUAGUUUUCGGUUGGACCAAGAUUUCCAAGAAAGUGAACAAUUUUUUAUAGACAAGAAAAAAACAAACAAAUUAUAGUAAAACCAAUCAAUUUCUCACUACGCUCAGGUUCUAAAAAACCAUUGUAUCGCUUUGCGAAAAAUAACCUUAAGCAGUUGGUAUAUUGCUGUUUAUCGCGCUUACAAAGAAAUGGUGUAUACACAUU